CCACAGAAGGUAAUAGUCCUGUAUGUUAAACGAGAAAACUUUAGAUAUGAUCCAGAGUACCACGGGACACGUGAAACCCUGUGGGAAGCAGGAGGGACCACCCUCCAAGGCUAAAUACUACCUAGUGACCGAUAGCGUAUAGUACCGUGAGGGAAAGGAGAAAAGAACCCCGGGAGGGGAGUGAAAUAGAACCUGAAACCCUGCACUUACAAGCUGUGGAAGCACAUUUCUUGUGUGACCGCGUACUUUUUGUAGAACGGGCCAACGAGUUACGUUAAGUAGCAAGGUUAAGCACGUAAGGUGUGGAGC
RNAcentral lists this ribosomal RNA (309 nucleotides) under Clostridioides difficile. Its description in RNAcentral is "partial 23S ribosomal RNA". It matches the Rfam family "Bacterial large subunit ribosomal RNA", at positions 354 to 666 of the family's 2925-position model. Lineage: Bacteria; Bacillati; Bacillota; Clostridia; Peptostreptococcales; Peptostreptococcaceae. The record is from RNAcentral.